AACGAACGCUGGCGGCGUGGAUAAGACAUGCAAGUCGAACGAGAGAAUUGCUAGCUUGCUAAUAAUUCUCUAGUGGCGCACGGGUGAGUAACACGUGAGUAACCUGCCCCCGAGAGCGGGAUAGCCCUGGGAAACUGGGAUUAAUACCGCAUAGUAUCGAAAGAUUAAAGCAGCAAUGCGCUUGGGGAUGGGCUCGCGGCCUAUUAGUUAGUUGGUGAGGUAACGGCUCACCAAGGCGAUGACGGGUAGCCGGUCUGAGAGGAUGUCCGGCCACACUGGAACUGAGACACGGUCCAGACACCUACGGGUGGCAGCAGUCGAGAAUCAUUCACAAUGGGGGAAACCCUGAUGGUGCGACGCCGCGUGGGGGAAUGAAGGUCUUCGGAUUGUAAACCCCUGUCAUGUGGGAGCAAAUUAAAAAGAUAGUACCACAAG
This 435-nucleotide ribosomal RNA is filed under the name uncultured bacterium. RNAcentral describes it as "bacterial SSU rRNA". It matches the Rfam family "Bacterial small subunit ribosomal RNA", at positions 29 to 484 of the family's 1533-position model. The record is from RNAcentral.